Oncorhynchus tshawytscha (Chinook salmon) is the source of this 1079-nucleotide long non-coding RNA. Lineage: Eukaryota; Metazoa; Chordata; Actinopteri; Salmoniformes; Salmonidae. The record is from Ensembl.
GCCUUGGCAGGAACUAGUAGGGAUCCGUAAUAAACCCCAGGAAGAGUAGCUGCCGCCUUGGCAGGAACUAGUAGGGAUCCGUAAUAAACCCCCAGGAAGAGUAGCGUCACAAACAUUUCACAUAUUUUGCCAAAUGUUAUGUUAUUUAAAAAAUAUAUUUUAAGUAUUCGGGUGUCUCAGGACAUCUUACGAUCACGUUGCAUUGAAUUUCAGAAACACACCUUUUUAACAAUAUACGAGACCUUUCGGAUGAGCAGAUUUCCUGCUUUCACAGGCUGGUGAGAUCAGCCAUUUUCCAGGUGUCAUUUUUGAUGUCUUAAUUACAAACUUCGGCCACCAGGUGGUGCCACAAGUGUUCAUUAGGUGAUCUCUUCUUGAAGACAGCGUCUUCCUUUUUCCUCAUUGUUUGUGUAAGGACACUUUACCAGGUGUUUAAAGACAUUGUGACGUCAGACCUCAGGCUUUAAAGGGAUAGUACACCUCAUAGUUCUAGUUGUGGGGGAUUUUCCAGAGACAGGUCCUAGGUCUAGAUUCAUCUCAUAGUUCUAGUUGUGGGAGAUUUUCCAGAGACAGGUCCUAGGUCUAGAUUCAUCUCAUAGUUCUAGUUGUGGGAGAUUUUCCAGAGACAGGUCCUAGGUCUAGAUUCAAUUCGUAUCACGUAAUAUCCGUGCUAUAGCGCGAUUAAAAUUUAAAAAACAAUCACUCUAUGAAUCAAUCACUCUAUAAAUCAAUCACUCUAUAAAUCAAUCACUCUAUGAAUCAAUCACUCUAUGAAUCAAAUACUCUAUGAAUCAAUCACUCUAUGAAUCAAUCACUCUAUGAAUCAAUCACUCUAUAAAUCAAUCACUCUAUACCACAGAUCUCCUGAGAUAGGGAUUGAAUCCCCGAGUUACAUUUUGGAUUUAAGUAAUUGAUCAUUUGACCAGUUUAUUUUAAUAUUGUUAAAAUCUCUGACAUGAAUAAAUAAUCCCCGUCAUGGUACAAUUGGACAUAAAAGCGGGAAGGAUGUUGGAUUAGAUUCUGCAUCAGCUUGUGUUUGAUUUGUGGUGACAUAUUGUAGGUGUGUGUGUGUGUGUGUG